RNAcentral lists this transfer RNA (81 nucleotides) under Apaloderma vittatum (bar-tailed trogon). It matches the Rfam family "tRNA". Rfam says of the family: Transfer RNA (tRNA) molecules are approximately 80 nucleotides in length. Their secondary structure includes four short double-helical elements and three loops (D, anti-codon, and T loops). The record is from Rfam by way of RNAcentral. Lineage: Eukaryota; Metazoa; Chordata; Aves; Trogoniformes; Trogonidae.
GGCCGGUUAGCUCAGUGGUUUGAGCGCGGUGCUGACAACUAUGACAACAUUGAGACUGCGGGUUCUAUUCCCGCUCGGUCC